UAUACUUAUUAUUCUUUGGUUUGGUCUUUUCAUGCUGUCCCAUAUUUCCUGGAUAUUUUGUGUUAUGGAUUUGUUAGACUUCAGAUUUUCUUUGCUUGACAAGUUUAUUUCCUCUAGUUUGUCUUCAGCAUCUGAGAUUCUGUCUUCGAUCUCUUGUAUUCUAUUGGUUAUACUUGCAUCUGUGGUUCCUGAUUGUUUACUCAGCUUUUCCACUUCCAGCAUUCCCUCAGUUUGUGUUUUCUUUAUUGUCUCUAAUUCAGUUUUCAGGUCCUGAACUGUUUCCUUCAGCUGUUUAAUUGUAUUUUCUUGGCUUUUUUGGCUUUCCUUGAUUUCUGGCAUCUUUUGGUUUGUCUUUUCUUCCAUUUUUCUGAAGGAUUUUCUGAUUUCCUGUCUUAGGUUCUCUAUCAUCUGCAUGAAGUUGUUUUUAAGGUUGCUCUCUUCUGCUUCUUCUGUGUUGGGAUGUUCAUGUCUUGCUGGUGUAGAGUCCCUGGACUCUGGUGGUGUCAUAUUGGUUUUCCUGUUGUUGGAUGUGUUCUUAUAUUGACAUCUUCCCAUCUCUUUUUCCAGUGGGUACAGUUGGUGUCACUUCCGUUCCUGGUGUGUAUGGGUCCGGUGUUCUCUUCAGGUGUGAGGCACUCCCUCUCCAGAUGUACUGCCUCCUGGACUGGGUCAGACAGUCACAGAAUACAGGCUUCAAACUGCUUUUCACACCAUUCUGGUUGGAAAUGGAACCUUUGGAGGCUCAUCAUGUUACCUUUAGCAAAACUGGAAACCAGACGUUGAGAAUGCCAGUGGCCAGCCUUUCAUUAAAAAGCUUUGCAAAGGAAGUCUCUUGGUCAGUGUGACUCACUUGCCUGAAAUUAACUGCUGUUGAUUUCAGCUGCUCCUUAAUCAACGAAACCCAGCCAAUUCAUGUGGACUGAGACACACAUGGCCUUUCAAGUUAAUUGAGUGCUUACUAUGUGUGACUCACUGUAAAAAGGAUGGGAGAGAAAAUGAGGAGACAAAUAAGGUACAGGGUCUGCCUUCAGUGAAGCUACAAUUAGUUUCAGGAUGCAUAUUUCUUUAUUUUGCUCAUAGUUAAAAGUUUCUCUCAUACAAGAAACAAAUGAAUGGGAAAACAUAUUCUGUAAAUAUUUUAAGCUUCAUUAAUGAGAAACAAAAUAAAACACAGAACAACAACAGCAAAACAAUCUGGGAAAUUCAAGACAUUUUAAUCCUUUAUUGUUUUAUUUUAUUAUCUUACAGUGCUAAAAUAAAAUCUAUUCUAUUUAUUCCAUAAAUAUUUGGUAAACUUUAGAGACAUAACGUUUUGAGUUAAUUUGAGUUCAAUUCUACUUUUGUCCUAUAUGUGUAAGUUGUCUGUUGGAAAACCCAUAUUGUUUAUUGGGAGGUGGGAUGCUGAGUUACAUCUGUUGUAUCCACAGACAUCUAUCUUCUGUGACCUCAAGAGCACCAUUCUGCGUAAGAUACUUGUGAGGAGAAGAGGAAGAUUUAGAUAAAAUUUGGGGUUUGGGACUUACAGAUCUAAGACUGGACAGAGAGCAACAAAACAUCUGGCAAAGGAUCUUGGAAAUCUGGCUGAGAAAUUUUUAAAAGUAUUCAUUUCUUGUCCCCCAUAGCUUGAAUAACUAAAAAGUUUCCCUAAAAAUUUUUAUUGGACUUGAGAAUAAGUCAUUACUUUUCCAGUGUGAAGAUGCUGAUAUUACUAGAGGCACUGGGCAUCUUAUGCCAUUUCUGUAACCUAUUUUUAUAUGGGUGAGCCAACAACAGCCAUUUUUGUCUUGAGUAGUAUCCAUGUAAUUGAAAAUGUGACAAUUCUUUUAAAACAUCAUCAACAGACUUCCUAAUUAAGCUGCCAAUACAAACUGAACUGUCAAUGUCACCGUGUGCUGUUUGACAAAUGAAUAGUGUUGCUUGAACCGUGUUAAGUAAACAGUGCUGUCCCUUCUAUGAAGAGUUUCAUGUGUUCUUUGUACCAUAGCACUUACUAAAUAACUUGACAAAAUUCUCAUGCCAUUUCUUUUCUUUUAAUUUUAAAACAUUAUUACUUUAUUUUUCAGUAAGGAACAGAUCUACUUUAACUAGUAACUUCAGUUCUAGGAUUGAUCCUUAAUAGCAUAGCAUGGAUUGUCUCUCUUCCAAAGUCCUGGUCAUGAGGAAUUCUUAGUUAUCACCUCAUGCUAUAUCAAACUGUUUGUGUUUAUUACCUACUGUUAAAGACAUCUCUGCGUUACAAAUUUAUACUUAGUGAAAACUAAGUCUGUACUCAGUACACAUGUAUGAUCAUGGGAUGUAAAGUAGCCCUUUCCACUAUGGCUCUUUUAAGGACAUAUUAAAGACAGGAAGAUGGGGUCAGCACAAUAGCACCUUUAUUGAUUUGUACUUUAUAGUCAGUAUACUGAGAAAAAGCCUAAAUAAAGCAAAUAUUUUUUAUACAGUCUAUUCUCCUGGACCUCAUCAAGAGUUUUCAGCCUGGCUCUUUAUAAAUUAAUGUCCACUCUCUUUUGCCACUGACCCUCGGCACUCUUCCAAGGGGAAACUCCCCUUCUCCUCCUUUGACUUGUCUGUUACUAGAACAGUAACCACAUCAUUCAUCAAGAGCUCAUGAGGAACAAGUGCUUUAUGUGAGUCCUCUCAGAGCAUGCAUGGGCAGUGGACAUCAUCCACUGGAGAAGAAUGCAUCUUGCUUAAGGAAGGAAUGGGGGCCACACAUGGAGUUAUACUCCAAAGCCUGGUCUAUUAUCAUCCCCACACUCUGUUCUUCAGCUACAUCUCAGAAAAAUUGCUAAUGCUUGUGUGUGUGUGUGUGUGUGUGUGUGUGUGUGUGUGUGUACAGUGUGUAGAGAGUCAUACCAAAUCUGGAUGAAGUCCAGACUCAUUGCAUUUAAUAUUCCUGAACAACACAUUCUCCAACAGAUAAAAACCCAGGAAAUCACUGUUGUUUAGAGACUGGGGGAAGUGCAGAGCAAUUGGGAGGAAACAAAGUUGGAAACAAACCAGUUGAGUUAAACCUUUAGCCUUUACCUCAUGA
RNAcentral lists this long non-coding RNA (3034 nucleotides) under Cricetulus griseus (Chinese hamster). RNAcentral describes it as "lncRNA (ENSCGRG00000025565.1)". The record is from RNAcentral. Lineage: Eukaryota; Metazoa; Chordata; Mammalia; Rodentia; Cricetidae.